This 21-nucleotide non-coding RNA is filed under the name Arabidopsis thaliana (thale cress). The record is from RNAcentral. Lineage: Eukaryota; Viridiplantae; Streptophyta; Magnoliopsida; Brassicales; Brassicaceae.
UUGAAACUCGGAUGCUCCUUA